AGGGAUGUGAUGGGCUUGCACCUGUGCAUCUCCUCCAGAGAGCUGUCCCAACUCUGCAAAAUUUUAAUAACAAAAGCCAGUGUGAUGUCCUCUAUGCUUUAGAUCAGCAGGGGCCAAUAUUUUUGGUAGGAAUGCCAUAAAUUAGCCCUGCACCCUCCCUAAGUGCCACUUGGAUACCUCCCUCUGUUCUAUCUGCCUCUCUGCUGUCUGCCCCCUGCCCUAUCUGUUGUUGUACUGCCUGUCCCACAGGAGCUAUCUCUACCACUAGUUGGCCACCUCUGCUUUAGAUAGUUUCUCUAGGUUUACAGUCCGUGCUACGGCACAUUUACUAGCACACUGAGAUAUGGGUAUAAAUAAUUAAACCUACAUAAAAACUGAGAUGGUAUAUAAACAAAGAACUCCUUGCUUUUCUCUUACACUUACAGAAAUCAUGAUGAGAAUGCUGUACAGCAAUGUUCUGCCUAUCCAGUGCAAUGUUUUCUUUACAAAAUCCUGCAUGCAGCAACUUUUGUAGCCAGAUUUGCAGACCCCCCUCCUCAAGCCCGCUGCAACCCAUUCGCCUCCUGGAGGGAGCUCAUCAGAUUUUGUUCAGGACUGCUUUGUCCUCCCUUGCCAUAUUUCUCCUCUGUCUUCUCAAAGGACAGGGAGAAGGUGAGAGAGAAUGAGGAGCCAGUCUCAAGGCAGCCCAAGGUAACUCAGAGGGAUGGAAGACCACGAGUGUCGAUGAAGCCAGGGCCCCUCCCUUGCCCAACCUUUGUAACCCUUUCUUUGGCGCCUGUAAUCUCCUGUCCUUCUGGAAAACAGGUAAGCUAAAACUGUUAACUGUGGAAUGCAAGGGCACCGCUCGGAGAGAGAAGGGAGGAGGGAAAGGGGA
This 874-nucleotide long non-coding RNA is filed under the name Crocodylus porosus (Australian saltwater crocodile). RNAcentral describes it as "lncRNA (ENSCPRG00005012751.1)". The record is from RNAcentral. Lineage: Eukaryota; Metazoa; Chordata; Crocodylia; Crocodylidae.